CUCCGAUACGGGGAGUCGAACCCCGGUCUCCACGGUGAAAG
RNAcentral lists this transfer RNA (41 nucleotides) under Kluyveromyces lactis. Its description in RNAcentral is "partial transfer RNA". The record is from RNAcentral. Lineage: Eukaryota; Fungi; Ascomycota; Saccharomycetes; Saccharomycetales; Saccharomycetaceae.